GUGGCCGCCGCCGCGGUAAUACCGGCAGCCCAAGUGAUGGCCACUCUUAUUGGGCCUAAAGCGUCCGUAGCCGGCCUCGCAAGUCCGUCGGGAAAUCCAGUAGCUCAACUACUGGGCGUCCGGCGGAAACUACAAGGCUUGGGACCGGAAGGCUCGAGGGGUACGUCCGGGGUAGGAGUGAAAUCCCGUAAUCCCGGACGGACUACCGAUGGCGAAAGCACUCUGAGAAGACGGCUUCGACAGUGAGGGACGAAAGCUCGGGUCUCAAACCGGAUUAGAUACUCGAGUAGUCC
Molecule: ribosomal RNA, 293 nt
Filed under: uncultured bacterium
Lineage: Bacteria
Description: partial 16S ribosomal RNA
Rfam family: Archaeal small subunit ribosomal RNA
Source: RNAcentral